RNAcentral lists this long non-coding RNA (824 nucleotides) under Mytilus galloprovincialis (Mediterranean mussel). The record is from RNAcentral. Lineage: Eukaryota; Metazoa; Mollusca; Bivalvia; Mytilida; Mytilidae.
CGAUAGCGCAAUUCUAAUUGUGGAGAUUGUGCUACGAUCUCACAGCGACUUUACUACGACAUUACUACGACCAUCACGUUCUUACCGCUUCCUCUAUGACCACGUUUAUACCACGCUUAUACCACGCUGUUCAAGACCAAUAUAGUACGCUUUUAUUACGCCCAUGCUGUCCUCAUCACGCUGUUCUUACUACCCGACCACGUUCAAACUACGAUCAUCAUGCUCAUUGUCAUAUACCAUUUAUAAAAUCCCUCCAGUUUUUAUAUGUCUGUAUGUUAUUUGAACCUCUAGUCCUUUAUCUCCAACGUCUCAAUCAUUCUUGACACAUCUGUGUCAUCCCUACUAUCGUCUACUAAAGCAUCGUCAUUUUAUCUUGAUGGACCAGCAAUGAGUUGUGAUUCAGGUUGGAUUUGUCGGUCCGACAUACAUGUAUAUCUUCUGGAACAUGAUUCGUUACUAUAAGAUCUCCCUCUGCCUCUACCUCUACCCUUACCUUUGCAUAGAUUAUGGUUGCAUGACUCCGUUGUUUCCUAGAAACUCUACGAAUCAAUGAAAAAUAGAAGGAAUGAUACAGUAUUUAUAUUGAAAAUGAUGUCGACUUUAUUGAUGGGUGCUCGAGCGUAGUAAGAUUGCGGUAUCAACGUAGUAUAAUCGUGGUAAGAACGUGCUAUAAUCGUAGAAGAAGCGUUAUAAGAUCGUGUUGCAAUCGGAUAGAUCGUGGUAGGGUCGUAAUGAGCGUAGAAAGAUCGUGACAAUCGUAGUGAGGUCGCAGAAUAAGCGUGGUGAGAACGUGGUAUAUUCAUAGCGGGAUAGUUGUAAAAGCG